This 468-nucleotide ribosomal RNA is filed under the name uncultured bacterium. RNAcentral's name for it is "partial 16S ribosomal RNA". It matches the Rfam family "Bacterial small subunit ribosomal RNA", at positions 28 to 507 of the family's 1533-position model. The record is from RNAcentral.
GACGAACGCUGGCGGCGUGCUUAACACAUGCAAGUCGAACGGAAAGGCCCUGCUUUUGUGGGGUGCUCGAGUGGCGAACGGGUGAGUAACACGUGAGUAACCUGCCCUUGACUUUGGGAUAACUUCAGGAAACUGGGGCUAAUACCGGAUAGGAGCUCCUGCUGCAUGGUGGGGGUUGGAAAGUUUCGGCGGUUGGGGAUGGACUCGCGGCUUAUCAGCUUGUUGGUGGGGUAGUGGCUUACCAAGGCUUUGACGGGUAGCCGGCCUGAGAGGGUGACCGGCCACAUUGGGACUGAGAUACGGCCCAGACUCCAACGGGAGGCAGCAGUGGGGAAUAGUGCACAAUGGGCGGAAGCCUGAUGCAGCAACGCCGCGUGCGGGAUGACGGCCUUCGGGUUGUAAACCGCUUUCGCCUGUGACGAAGCGUGAGUGACAGUAAUGGGUAAAGAAGCACCGGCUAACUACGUG